Molecule: ribosomal RNA, 245 nt
Filed under: uncultured bacterium
Lineage: Bacteria
Description: partial 16S ribosomal RNA
Rfam family: Bacterial small subunit ribosomal RNA
Source: RNAcentral
AGUAACGCGUGGAUAACCUGCCUCACACAGGGGGAUAACAGUUAGAAAUGACUGCUAAUACCGCAUAAGCGCACAGUCUCGCAUGGGACAGUGUGAAAAACUGAGGUGGUGUGAGAUGGAUCCGCGUCUGAUUAGGCAGUUGGCGGGGUAACGGCCCACCAAACCAACGAUCAGUAGCCGGCCUGAGAGGGUGAACGGCCACAUUGGGACUGAGACGCGGCCCAAACUCCUACGGAAGGCAGCAG